AGCACAUAAAUAAACACAACUAAUAUGAACUAAUAUACAUAACAGUAAAAGGCAUGUCAAUCUUAAACUUGAAAGAGAAAUAGAUUACUUUCUGAUUGGGAGGAAGGGAUUCAGGGAAGACUUCAUAGAGAAGAUUAUCUCUAAUUUUUGAAAGGAAAGAAACUUUUUUAAAAGGCAGAGAUGAGGAGGAAGUACAUCUCAAUUAUGAUAGAACAUCUGUAUCAAUGCAUGGAGGCAAGAAGUGAAAGAUAUAUGUAAAUAACUAAUAGUCCAUUUUUUGUUUAAUGAAAAAAAGUGUGAAAUGAGGCUGGGAGGACAGAUUAGAGAUAAACUGUAGCCAAAAUGACAGGCAAAGACAGAUGUCUCUGGAGUUAAAACCAAUUCUAUUUACACAAUCCUCAUUCAACAUAAAGUUAUAUUUCAUAAUGCUUGCAAGAUAAUGUGUUUGGAGAUACUCUCAUAAGGCAGUGACCUGAUUGGAAAUGGACCUGGAAAUAUGGAAUGACUGGAAGCCAUACUAGCCUCAGAGGGACUAUACUUCAAAACCCAGUCCUAUCUGGUGAUAACAAAUGUCAUAGGAAAGUAGUUAUACAGUAAGAGAAAAUAAAAUUCUGGACAAGAGCUAGCUUUAGAAAAAUAGACUAAGUAAUCAUGAAUUCUUUCAAAUCAUAUGAUGUAAGUACAUUCAGUACUGAAACAAUUAAAAACUGUCUACUUCACUGGUGAUGUGAUGGGGUAGCAAUAGACUAGCACUUCUGAUUUUCUAUAGGACAACCCCAUUGACCUGAACCAAGUGAGUUUUACAAUCCACUUGUACAGCCACCAUCUGUAAUUGGAAAACCAUCAAACAAGCUGACUUUUAUUCCAUAUAUCUGCUGUGGGAUUCUAUCUUAGGUGGUGGACAUAAUAAGGAUUUAAAACUAAGCAGAGCACAUUUAUUUUAGCAUCUGAAUGAGAAAUUUCUCAUUCAUGCAAAGAGAGCCAUAAUUGUAUUGGGAAAUGAGCAAGUAACAGUCUCUUCAACACUGAAAUAGCCCCUUAGCAAAGCAUCAAGGGACCCUCUGCUAUUGGAAACACUAGGUUUUUAACAAGUAAGAAAAUUAGAGUUCUAAGAAAUGGUAGCUAUUAUAGAACUAGUACUUUUUGCUUAAGUAUAAUAUAAUAUUUUUAUUCCUUAGGCACUAUAGAAUAAUAAAGUAAAAACUUUUAUAGUUGUAUUAAAGACAAUGAGACUUGUGGUUUUGUGACAAAUAAGAUGGAAUAGUAGAUAUUUUCUCCAAUUUUUCCCAACAUUCAAACUCCUCCAAAAUAAGAAUUAUCUUCAUGAAGCUAACUAACAACUUGUUGAAUUAAAAGCAGAAAAUGCUAAUCCCUAACAUAUUCACUCACCAUGGCUUCUCCCACAAACCUCCAUGGUAUGAGAGGGUUGUUUGUGAUCUAGAUAAUCUAUUCAGUAAUUUCCUUGAUGCUACUGUAGUAUAAAUCCUACCUGCCUUCUUCCCCUAGUCCUCACUUUACCAUUGUGAUGCAAUAAGCAACAUGACUCAAUUACUCAGUCCUCCUUUUGAGAAGUGCCCUCUCCCUCACCCCAUCAGCACAGGAAAAGUUGGAUGCAUAGAAAAGCAAAAUCUUGCUGUUUUGGGGACAAAGGUUCGGGGACUCAGCCAGAGAACUAAGAAAUAGAGGAAACUAGAAUAGAGAUCCAGGGUAUUGUGCAUCUCUGCCAAGACUAAAAAAAAAAAAAAAGAGGACAGACAUCGGAGAUGAAACUAUUUUUGUAUCUUUAGAAGUCACUUGAGGUAGAGCUGAGGCUGGUGGAAAAGAAAUUCCCUAGAAUGGGAAGAGAGUGAGGCAGUUUUGAGGUCUAGUCUGUGUAAGAGAGAAUUAACCAUCCAGUAUUAAUCAAUAGAUACCCUCAGAGGUAUCUCUCUUUUACAAGUCCUGUGGGAAAUCACCAUCAUAUGGGAAGAAUUGAGUAAGAGGGUGAUAGAAGAGAGGAAAAAAGACUGAAAUUACAAAAGAUAUAAGGAGAAAGAAAACUCCCUUAAAAACUUCAAACACAACCAGAGGUCAGUCAAAGUAGAGAGAAUUAUAGCAGCAUAGUAUAUGGCACCUUCAUACCACCAUCCAACACAGUGGAAGUAGAAAGCUUCACUUAUGAAGAUAGAAUUAUCUGGCUUAACUAAUUUCAAAUGGAAGCAGGAAUAAUCAAGGGAGAAUUUGUCUCAGAAAAUCAAGGAGGCUAUCAAUAAAAGAUAUAAUGCUGAGAGUCCUGGGAAUUCAUUUAUUCAGCAGAAUCAUAAACCACCUGCAGAUGAAAGUUCAUCAAAGCAACUCAAUUCUUCAACACAGCAAUGGAGAAGACAUCAACAGAAGAAAUCCUAGUCUGUCAUCUAGAGAACUCUUAGGUGUGUAUACUUUUACACACUCUCUACAAACUAUCAUUCAUUUCACUUUGUAUCUCUUCUAGUGUUAAUUUAUCACAUGAAAAGUUUUCCAGAGAUAUGAAAUUAGCAUAUAGCAGUUAUAAACUUUUUAAAGGAUAUUUUUGAGAAACCACCAGUAUAUUUUCAUAUUAUUCCUCUAUGUUUCCAUAUGCAAUAUGAAUACAAUUUCAUUUCAAAAUUUUUGUUCCCCACUUAAGAGUCAGCAUGAUCUAAUGAAGAAUCUUUUAAUCUUCUUUGUCCAUGUACCUAGAGGUGACUCAAUAUUCAUCAGACUUCAUGUAAAGUCACCAAACUAAUAAAAUCUUUAAAAAUAAAU
Monodelphis domestica (gray short-tailed opossum) is the source of this 2763-nucleotide long non-coding RNA. RefSeq lists it as uncharacterized. Lineage: Eukaryota; Metazoa; Chordata; Mammalia; Didelphimorphia; Didelphidae. The record is from RefSeq and is a predicted model, not a curated record.